Folsomia candida is the source of this 872-nucleotide long non-coding RNA. RefSeq lists it as uncharacterized. Lineage: Eukaryota; Metazoa; Arthropoda; Collembola; Entomobryomorpha; Isotomidae. The record is from RefSeq and is a predicted model, not a curated record. The transcript has 2 exons.
CUUUAAAAAACCAUGGCAAAUAUUUGCUGAUAACAUAAUUGAAAUAUAUUAAAUACGUGCAUAAAAAGCCUUUUCGAUGACAUUGGGCACGAGCAGUGAAGCAUCAAAAGUGAGAUCGAAACUCCGGCGGUCUAAAGUGCUGAAAAUACAUAACGUAUUUUUUGCUAGAAGUAUUAAAUUACGACCAUAUUUUCAGGUUCUUUUACUAGAAACAUUUUAGAAAGGUGUCGUCCACGCGUAUUUAGCUGUGUUGCCGUGACAAGUUUCAGCUGCUAACAACUUAUCUUUAAAAGUAUAUCUGGAAAAGACUCGCAAAAUAUGGACCCCAUUCUCCUUCUCCUUUAUAUUUACGCAUUUUUUUUCAUCUUUUUCGGAGUUUGGAGCAUGUUCGCAAUUGCUGCUGACAAAAAUGCUGCCGAGGCACGUCAAUGGAGGACUUCCGAGUACAAACUUCACCUCGUGGAACUCAUGGGGGGCUGGUUCGGAAGUCUGUCUGCUCAACUUUCUUUCCGUAAGAAAAUCAAGAAAAUUUCUUAUCAGAUCGUUUUCUGGGCAAUUGUCGUCCUCCAUAUGGCUGGAAUUGUGACGGUGUACGUCAACCAGGAAAAUAUACGGGAAUUGUUUAAAAACUUAUAAACAAAAUCAAUGUAGGUUCUGGAGUUUAGGAGAAAUCGUCAUCUUGCAGACGCGAAAUUAUCUAAAAAAAAUUAUUUCUGAUUUCCAUGUGUUUGUGCUUUCUUAAAUUUAUCCCACAUUAAACUUUUAUCAUUAAGAAAAUCAAUCAAUCUCAUUCUGUAAUUUAUACAUUUAAUACAAUUUUGUGUAUUUUUUUUGCAAGAUUCAUGAACAUAUAUAAAUCGUCAUAAAAUUAA